RNAcentral lists this ribosomal RNA (229 nucleotides) under uncultured bacterium. RNAcentral describes it as "partial 16S ribosomal RNA". It matches the Rfam family "Bacterial small subunit ribosomal RNA", at positions 568 to 796 of the family's 1533-position model. The record is from RNAcentral.
UGCGUAGGCGGAAUAUUAAGUCAGUGGUGAAAUCCUGCGGCUCAACCGUAGAACUGCCAUUGAUACUGAUAUUCUUGAAGGUAGUUGAGGUAGGCGGAAUGUGUAAUGUAGCGGUGAAAUGCUUAGAUAUUACACAGAACACCGAUUGCGAAGGCAGCUUACUAAACUAUGAUUGACGCUGAUGCACGAAAGCGUGGGGAGCGAACAGGAUUAGAUACCCUGGUAGUCC